UAUCCGAAAAUCUGAUAUUUCCCUCAAGAUACACUUUCUUCUCUCCUCCCCAAAAUAUGUCACAGUUUCUCUCUCUUGCUCUUUGAAAACUGGCGCGAUUUUUCUUCGACAUCCUUCGUUCUUCAAAUUCCAGCAAUUCGUCCCAAGAUUAGCAGUAUUUCAAUUAACUUGAAUCUGCAAUCAUCGAGCUCAAAAAUUGAAGGUGGUUAGCUGAACUGCUCUGCAUCGUUGCUCUUAAGGUGUCAGCCGUGUUGUGUGUACGUUGUUGCUGCAGGGGGAUGAGGGUUGCUCUUAAGGGUUCAGGUUAUUUCUCUCAUUUCCAAAGAAAAUGUUAAACAGAGUCUUGCCAGGACAAGAUAAGCAUCAGCAUUACCAGAACCCCAGCAAGUCCCAAUGACGAACCUCCAACCCUAAACACUGACGACGAGUCCCACAAAACAUUUGACAGGCAUAUAGACUUCAUGUGCAAGAAGAGAGCCACGGAGAAAUCAGUUCUACAACUUUUAUUUUAAUUUUUUUCUUAAAUAUAAAGUCGAAACCUAUUAGCUCAAAUGGUAGAGCAAUGUGCCAUUGCACAUGGGUGUAGGUUCAAAUCCUACACAGGUUGAUGAUUACUACGUAUAAAAGUCUUAUUGUAUUCUUCUAUUAUUUGAAAAAGUAGAUCAAAAUUUGAUAAAAGUAAGUGAAUUUGUCUAAGAAGUAAAUUCAUUAAGCUAAUUAUGAAUUUGUAUAAUAUUUUUCCAUAAAUGGAAUAUUUGACAUCUUAUUACA
Long non-coding RNA from Spinacia oleracea (spinach), 771 nucleotides. RefSeq lists it as uncharacterized. The record is from RefSeq and is a predicted model, not a curated record. The transcript is spliced from 4 exons. Lineage: Eukaryota; Viridiplantae; Streptophyta; Magnoliopsida; Caryophyllales; Amaranthaceae.